This 640-nucleotide long non-coding RNA is filed under the name Salmo salar (Atlantic salmon). Its description in RNAcentral is "lncRNA (ENSSSAG00000103190.1)". The record is from RNAcentral. Lineage: Eukaryota; Metazoa; Chordata; Actinopteri; Salmoniformes; Salmonidae.
CAACUGUGAAUGGUCCCGGUGCACCAAGAAAAAGUGUCAAGAGACGCCAGUGUAGGAUUUGGCUUCACUCCUGUCACAUCACGUCAAGAUAAAUAUUUAAUUGACAGAAACAACUUGAAUUGUUGCAUCUCAUUGUGUUGUUGUCUAGCUAAAAUUCGCCCUUUCCUAAAUUAGCCAUAAUUCUCCGUACUAGCCAAUGAUUACAACGGCGAUUCUGAUCCAACCAUAAAUUCAUACAUUAUGCCCCUGGACUGACAGGAUGGAAGUUCAGUAUGUAGCUAGAUGUAGAAGGCUAAUGUUAUCUAGCUAAUGUUACCCAUGAAAGCAAGUCUGGUUAGCAAGCAAGCAUUUUAGCCAGGUAGCUUAGGACAACCAUAACUAAAAGCGUGUACUGUAUGACAUGGUCAUAGACUGUUUCGUCAACAUGAAAGAGAAGGAUGGCGUUGGCGUAGGUCUGACAGUAACCCAGCUGUCUGAAGCAGAGGAUCACUCUUUCAGCUGCUGCAUGAAGCAGCCAGGCAAAAAGACAGAGUUGGUAUCGACAUUGACGUGGGCCAUCACUCAAACAAAGAUGCCUUCGUGCUCACCAGUGCAUAUUUCCAAACUAUAAUGACAAUAAAAUCUCAAAACUAUGCCGCUA